RNAcentral lists this non-coding RNA (231 nucleotides) under pig gut metagenome. The record is from RNAcentral.
AAGUUGGUUUGCCGAAGGGCAAUCAAAAGGGAAUCGAGUGAGAAUCUCGAGCAGACCCGCUGCUGUAAGUUUUCUUUACGAGUAUGUUGAAAUUCAACAAUACUCCGUCUCAUCUUCCGAAGCACUGUCUGCAUUCGCAGACAGCUACCGAACGUCACUGGCCAAGCAAGAGUGCGGAGGCCGGGAAGGCGAAGAUGACGGAAAACAAGCCAGAAGACCUGCCAACGUAAU